This is a non-coding RNA of Ictidomys tridecemlineatus (thirteen-lined ground squirrel), 2143 nucleotides long. The record is from RefSeq and is a predicted model, not a curated record. NCBI's taxonomy places the organism in Eukaryota, Metazoa, Chordata, Mammalia, Rodentia, Sciuridae.
GCCGUGGCCUAGUGGAACACGCUCAGGUCACACUGCUGUGCACAGGGACCCUCAACCUUCACGGCACCCGUGAGAGCCGCAGGGCCCCGUUCCACGGCAGAGAAAGCCAGGCCUGCUGGGCCACUCACUGGGCCAGGGGGGCCCUCAAGCCAGGACCCCAAUCCCUGCCCCCGAUGGUCUCCUUCCUCCCUGGGAGCUGGAUCGGCUCCUGUGUUGGAUCCUAAUCAUCUCUGAAAUUGUCAGACAAGACACUCCAGUGAGACAGAGAGCAAACGUCACCAGCCAUGUCCCCAGCUGCAGACCUCUCCUGAUGGCCUCUCCACCAUCGUCUAAACACUCCAGGCUAAGGAGAGACUGGCUACAAGGGGCCAGGCCGCCCUGGGCCAGGCAGGGCUGGCACGGAGUGUCCUUGAGCACCACUCUCCUCCCACAGCCUCGGUUCCCUGUCUCUGAGGUGACAGGAACUGCGAGCGGGGCCACUUCUGCUCCAGGGGCCUCUCCGAGCCAAGGACGUCCCUGGGCUGCCACUUUACUUAGGCCGUUUCCAGCAUCUGGAGAGCUCGCUGGAUCCUGGGCCCAGGGGUACUCAGCUGCGCUUCUGUGGGUGCCUCAGGACGAGGUGUGCCAUUGUCCCUGGUACUGUCCCCACGGCUGGCUGCGGUUUCCCUUUCCCUCCCACGUGAGAGCAAAUCAGAACAAUUAAGGGAGGCAGCCGCCUGGCAGGCCCCACAUGGCAUGGUGGUGACCCGGUCACUGCUGUUGGUCAUGGCAGUGGGAGUGUGACCAGGUGUCUUCCCGCUGACCCUGACCCUGACCCCGCCUGUGUCUACACAGCAGGUCAAGGGCAACACCAGCUCCAAGGGGCGUGAGCACCCGACACACUUGUUGCAGUGGCUGGUGUCCCAUCCCUCCUGGGGAGGGGACAGUGGCCUCCAUCCUGAGGGUCCUGCUGCCCCACCAGUGAGGGGAGGAGAUGUGGAGUCCCAGACGCAGCCCGGGGGAGGACGGGGAGGGGAGCACAGCCCGCCAGGGACAGGCAGUUGGAUGUCUCCCCGCCCUGCAGUUCCGACCCCCACUCCCCUCGGCCCCCAGUGCUGCUGUCUGUCUGUCCAGCCAAUGGGCCAUCAGAGCCUCACAGCCCAGGAGCCGGGGGCAUGGAAGACGAAGGAUCUCCUGGAGAGUUCUAAACGGUUCUAUCUCAGGUAGACCCGAGGCCCAGGGCCCCACCCACGUCUGUCUUUCCACCACUUUGUGAAACAGGAGCUUGGGCUGCCCAGGGGCAGGCUCUUCCCUCUGUGGCCCGUUAGGCAGCAUCUGUCACCGGGUCCUGCUCCCAAGCCCUCCAUCCACUCCUCUUUCAAGCCCUCGUUUACUCUCCAACUUGUAAACCCUGGGGAUAAUCCUGGAUUCUGCCCUUGACGUUUAUUUACUUGGAAUUUUUAUUUUGCAACAGUUCUGGGUUUUCAGACAGGACAGACAGCUCUGGUGCACCCCUUUCCCCCGGCUGUGCCAAGGUCAUCGUGUCACUGAGGAGCCUGGAAAUGCCUCCACAUGACGCCGUUCACUAACCUGCUCCGAGCGCAGACUUGACUUGACUUUCACCGGUUUCUCUGCUGCUGUCCUCAGCCUCUUUCAGGACACAGCCCAGAUGCAUGUGCUCUUUUGCCAAGUGUCAUCUGAAUUACCCGCUGGUCUACCCAGGAGGGCAGGACAGCCUCCCGUCAGCAAUGUUGAAAUGUUCAAGAGUCCCCAAAGUAGAAGGUACUGAAGAGGGUCUACCCCGAAAGAACCUUACACCAUUCCACGGGCCAUGGGCCACCGUUGCCUUGGAAACAUGAGACACACCUGCGUGAUUCUGGAAGGACUGGCUCUGGCGCCCUAAUCAAGAGUGCACCAAGUCUAGGGAAAGGAGCGAUGGCCAGAGAUUUGGGCCAGAAUGGGGAUUCUCUUUCAGUUGAUUCCUGUUAAAGGAAGAUUUUCAUUUCUGUGAGCUCGGAGGACCCGUGCGUGACGGUGGGAAGGAAGGAGACCGAGCAGAAAUGCAGUCUGAACACCUGGCCUGCCACGUCCCCUCCCUGGGCUCCUGGGGCAGCUCCCAGGGCUCAGGCAAAACGCUUGUGUUUCUGGUUUAUCAUAAAGGAUA